Molecule: long non-coding RNA, 3536 nt
Organism: Cygnus olor (mute swan)
Lineage: Eukaryota; Metazoa; Chordata; Aves; Anseriformes; Anatidae
Exons: 4
Source: RefSeq, a predicted model, not a curated record
UGCCAGAGCUCUUACUGCUGCAGUUUUCUAGUCGCAGUGCGGCAAAGCAGACGCAUAGACCCAGGCACAAAGCAGCAUAGAUUUUUUAUUCUUGCCUUUUUUUGUAUGAGGGAGAUUUUCCUGGUGUUAGCGUAGACACACAGCCUGGAUGUGUUGGCUUCAGCCUGGCAGCGCUUUCAGCUGAACAGGGACUGUUCGGAGCUCGGUAUCCAAACUGCCUCUGAGGAAGAACGCCUGGUUUCUCAUUUUGUAUACUAAGAGGUUCUUUAUGCCACGAUGAUAUACCUGCAGCCAUAGGACAAAGGAGAUUAUGGUAUUUGUCACUGUUUGCCUGACUGGGGCCUUUGCAGGCACUCCACUGCUGAAGCCGUGCCAGCGUCCCAGGGUCGUAUAGAUUGGUAAUACAGAUUGCUGCAAUUUCUUACAUCAGUAUAGCAAAGCUCAGAUGAGAAACCAGACUCUGAACUAAAUCAAUCCCAGUCCUUCUGGAUACAGGGCAGCAGGCGACUAGCAAUGACACAACCAGCCAUCAAGUGGAGAGUCUCUGGGACUGCAGUCUGUAUCAGUUGGAGUCUGUGAGAACGAAACACUUUCGGUUAUCCAGUCGCUUCUCCUUCUUCUAAUACUACAAUUACUACAACUGCUGCUACUACUACUACUACUAUUACUUCUUUUUUUCUUGCCUGUAAGAAGCUAUUACUUGUGCUUGGUCUCUGAGCGUAUGCUUGCGUGGAUUAGUUUGCUUGUAAAGCAGCCCUUAUCUGCUCCUGCUGGAAAUCAGGGCACAAAGUCAGCCUGCUUUAACAGUUGUUUCUUCCUGCGUGAUGCUAUGCAGCUAGAAUGGGUUACACUGACAACAAAGGAACCAACACAAAUCAUCACUUUAUUUGCUGGACUGUUACAGGAACAUAACUCUUCUACGAUAUGAUGUCCUGUUCUCUCCUCUUUCUUCUUUUUUUUUCUUUCUUUUUUUUUUUUUUUUUAAUUCAUCUAAUCGAAGAGCAUAACAGACACUAUCGUGGAUGUGGUUUUUAAUGAUUUGGAAAAGACAGCCUGUGGAGACUGUGAUUUGAGACUGCAACACAUUUAGGUUAUUGCCAAUUUGAAAUACUUGGUUUGUGAAGCACAGCCCUAAGGGACAAGCGCAGUAACUGAGAAAGAGAUUGUAGAUAAAGAAAUAAAAAUGACAAGCGUAAUGGAGGCUCUGCAAAAGAGACUGUCAGAGAAUCAGUUCAUGGAUGGCAAUUUCACCAGUCUGAAUCUGAAUAAUUCAUAGAUUGAAAUUACCCUGCUUUCACCUUUCCAUUUAAACCGGCAUGCUCUGAAUCUCUAAUAAAUUUUCAAGAUAAAGUAAAAUGCCAAUUUGAAUCUGAAGAGCUUUUAAAACCAGAUGCUACACCCUGAAUUUUUCGAUACCUUUCACAAUUAUCCUGUGAGAACUGCACUUCAUCACGAAGCACCAUUACCAGUGAAAAUUACUGUGAUUACAAUAGCAACAAUAGAAUACCAUCAAAUGAUCUCCAAUUUACCUAAUUUACCAGGGCUGACUGUGUGCCCAUUGUGCUUCACUACGUCUGGCAUUGGAUCAAUAUCACAGAGGAACAAAAAUGCCUUAGUAUAUGCUUCCUUUUGGUGCCUUUAACUUCGACACUACAGGAAAAUCUAUCUACUGUUAAGUGGUUUUACAGCCAAUCUACAUGCCUGCUGUAGGAUCUGAUUGAUUCUCCAUGAUUUUCUUUAGUUGCUGGGCAUUGGAUGUCAUUGUGUUACUAAUUUGUUUAUAACGUAUACUCCUGCACAAAGACUGCAGCAAAUGAGUGACAGCACAGCGGCUCUGCACUGCUACAGCAGUAGCAGCGCUCUCGCAGGGGAAGCCAAAAUGAGUUCGGUGCCUUAUGUGAAUAAUUACUUGUGUCUGGGUUAUAAAUGAUCUCUAGCACCACUGGUCUUGGUUGCAUGCCAUGACAAUUGAAUGCAAAAGCCAUGGUCAAGGGAAAUGAUCGUGUAUAAUCCUAACAUGAUUUUUUUUUCCCCUAUUCAGCAUUUAGUAAGAGAUUGUGAGAGAUAGGCUGUGACUCUGUCUAUAAAUGUGUGUCUGUACAUAUGCAUGUACAUAUGUAAAUGUAAACAUAGCAUGCUUUGUGAAUAUGUACCGAUCAUUGAAAGUAACAACUUUUAGGGACAAGCCAGGCACAGUGUUUUGCCACAAUCUGCCUGGUUGUAACAUAUCUCUGUUUUGGAGGUGUAAAUUUUCUAUAGGAUGGUGUGUGACUUCUGGAACAGUAAGUGCAAUUUAUGCAGUAUGUUGGUGCCUAUACCUAUGCUACAGAAUGUAAUUUUAAGCAUAGAGUCCUUAUAGCAUAACUACAGUACAGAGAAGUUAGAAAAAUGUACAGAAGGCUAUAACAGGCAUUCUUCAUGGAGACAACUGUGUCUGCUAUCUGUAUGUGUGUGAGUUGUACACUUCAAUCUUGUUUUUCAUUUUAUAACCAGAUUUACUCUGCCUCCAGGGAGUACUUGCUAAGGAAGGGAAUCCCUGUGGAGCUGAUAGCUGUGGACUAAUGACUGGUAUACCAAGCAGGAUUCACAUUCAUUGCCUCAGAUGCAGCUACAAGUCAGUAUAUUUUAGCUGACAUUUUUCUUGCCUGCUGAACUGACAGAGCCUAUCAGGGUAAAUCAGGUGAGAAUUUUCUGUUCUGGAGGAAAAUGAAGCAUUCAUUUUGUGUUGUAAAAAGAGAUCCUUGAAAAAAAAAAAACAGCAACAACAAAACAAGAACGGAACAGCAGCUACUCUUGCCACCUGAAAGAUCUUGGUGACAGUGUCAUUUUUUCCAGAAGAAAAUCUGCAAGACCUCAGGAUUUCCAUAAGUAUUUUGGACUUCUGGGGUGGAAAGGUGGUAGUUUUGUUAAUGGUUAAAAAUACCCCAGACAGGGAAUGCUGAUUCCUAAACUCUCUUCCCCAGAUUCAGGAGAAUAGUCCUUCCCAUACACUUUAAGAUAAGAUAGGGAGUAAGGAGCAGCAUGACAGUCUGUCCCCCUUCUGCUAGUGGUGUCUGAGAAGCAGCCGCAGGACAGGUGUGUUUCUUGGGAUGGGUUACAGAAGCACAUGGUAGUAUAGCAGCAGUGAGAUGAGCAGGAAGCAACCAGAUAAAUCUACAACAGAAUACCUCAGCCUUUCUGGAUCUGAACUAUGCGUACAAAGUGCAGUCCUACAUGCAUUUUUAUAUAAAGCAGUUUCUUGCUUUAAUGGAAUCCAUUAGAGAGGUAUUUGAACUCUUGUUCAUCCUGCUGCCACUGAUGUGCACCAGCCACAAACAACACAGUCCACUUGUCUCUAUUUUCUUCCUUCAUGAGUCAGAAAGUGUGUAUAAUGUGCUAACAGUAGUUAGAAGUGGCCAGAUUGGUAAAUGAAUGAGCUAUUUAGUGUAAUGAAUAAGGCAUCAUUCAAAGACUACUUUUUAAAAUAUCCUUUCCCACUGCUCGGUGAGCCUUGAGAAAAAGGUAUGCCAGAAAGUAGUUCAUAGUAGAAAUUACUU